GUGUCAGCCGCCGCGGUAAUACGGAGGGGGCUAGCGUUGUUCGGAAUCACUGGGCGUAAAGCGUACGUAGGCGGCUUGUCAAGUCAGGGGUGAAAGCCUGGGGCUCAACCUCAGAACUGCCCUUGAAACUGGCUAGCUUGAACAUAGGAGAGGUGAGUGGAAUUCCGAGUGUAGAGGUGAAAUUCGUAGAUAUUCGGAGGAACACCAGUGGCGAAGGCGACUCACUGGACUAUUGUUGACGCUGGGGUACGAAAGCGUGGGGAGCAAACAGGAUUAGAUACCCUGGUAGUCCACGCCGUAAACGAUGGAUGCUAGCUGUCGGGGCUCUUUGAGCUUCGGUGGCGCAGCUAACGCAUUAAGCAUCCCGCCUGGGAAGUACGGUCGCAAGAUUAAA
This 394-nucleotide ribosomal RNA is filed under the name uncultured bacterium. RNAcentral describes it as "bacterial SSU rRNA". It matches the Rfam family "Bacterial small subunit ribosomal RNA", at positions 505 to 898 of the family's 1533-position model. The record is from RNAcentral.